This 467-nucleotide ribosomal RNA is filed under the name uncultured bacterium. Its description in RNAcentral is "partial 16S ribosomal RNA". It matches the Rfam family "Bacterial small subunit ribosomal RNA", at positions 29 to 507 of the family's 1533-position model. The record is from RNAcentral.
AUGAACGCUGGCGGCGUGCUUAACACAUGCAAGUCGAACGGAAAGGCCAGUGCUUGCACUGGUACUCGAGUGGCGAACGGGUGAGUAACACGUGGGUGAUCUGCCCUGCACUUCGGGAUAAGCCUGGGAAACUGGGUCUAAUACCGGAUAGGACAAUGGUUUGGAUGCCGUUGUGGAAAGUUUUUUCGGUGUGGGAUGAGCUCGCGGCCUAUCAGCUUGUUGGUGGGGUAAUGGCCUACCAAGGCGUCGACGGGUAGCCGGCCUGAGAGGGUGUACGGCCACAUUGGGACGGAGAUACGGCCCAGACUCCUACGGGAGGCAGCAGUGGGGAAUAUUGCACAAUGGGCGCAAGCCUGAUGCAGCGACGCCGCGUGGGGGAUGACGGCCUUCGGGUUGUAAACUCCUUUCGCUAGGGACGAAGCGUAUUUGUGACGGUACCUGGAGAAGAAGCACCGGCUAACUACGUG